UAACUUAGUGGCGGACGGGUGAGUAACGCGUGGAUAACCUGCCGUGUACAGGGGGAUAACACUUAGAAAUAGGUGCUAAUACCGCAUAAGCGCACAACUUCGCAUGAAGAAGUGUGAAAAGCCGAGACGGUACACGAUGGAUCCGCGUCCGAUUAGCCAGUUGGCGGGGUAGAGGCCCACCAAAGCGACGAUCGGUAGCCGGCCUGAGAGGGUGACCGGCCACAUUGGGACUGAGACACGGCCCAAACUCCUACGGAAGGCAGCAG
Molecule: ribosomal RNA, 266 nt
Filed under: uncultured bacterium
Lineage: Bacteria
Description: partial 16S ribosomal RNA
Rfam family: Bacterial small subunit ribosomal RNA
Source: RNAcentral